AGCAAGCGCACGAAGGCGUACACGGCGACCGACGACAAGCUUCUUUGCGAGUGUUGGCGAGACAUUGGACAAGACCCCAAGACGGGCGCCGAGCAAAAGCAUUCAACCUUUUGGAUUCGUGUCCACCGAGAGGUUCAUGAGCGCAAGAAGUUUCCACCUUACCAAUUUGUGAGCACGCGCGGGUGGGUCUCCAUUUCCAAGCGGUGGAGGGUGAUCCAACAUGAGUGCAACAAGUUUUGCGCCACUCUUGAGAGCAUCAAGGCCCGCCCUGUUAGCGGCAUCGGCAUGCAAGACAUGGUAUGCUAG
Molecule: ribosomal RNA, 306 nt
Filed under: Triticum aestivum (bread wheat)
Lineage: Eukaryota; Viridiplantae; Streptophyta; Magnoliopsida; Poales; Poaceae
Description: partial small subunit ribosomal RNA
Source: RNAcentral